Molecule: ribosomal RNA, 609 nt
Filed under: uncultured Methanosaeta sp.
Lineage: Archaea; Methanobacteriati; Methanobacteriota; Methanomicrobia; Methanotrichales; Methanotrichaceae
Description: bacterial SSU rRNA
Rfam family: Archaeal small subunit ribosomal RNA
Source: RNAcentral
CGGGUUGUGAGAGCAAGAGCCCGGAGAUGGAUUCUGAGACACGAAUCCAGGCCCUACGGGGUGCAGCAGGCGCGAAAACUUUACAAUGCUGGAAACAGCGAUAAGGGGACCUCGAGUGCCAGGUUACAAAUCUGGCUGUCGUGAUGCCUAAAAAGCAUUGCAUAGCAAGGGCCGGGCAAGACCGGUGCCAGCCGCCGCGGUAACACCGGCGGCUCGAGUGGUAACCGUUAUUAUUGGGUCUAAAGGGUCUGUAGCCGGCCGGAUAAGUCUCUUGGGAAAUCUGGCAGCUUAACUGUCAGGCUUUCAGGAGAUACUGUCUGGCUCGAGGCCGGGAGAGGUGAGAGGUACUUCAGGGGUAGGGGUGAAAUCUUGUAAUCCUUGAAGGACCACCAGUGGCGAAGGCGUCUCACCAGAACGGACCUGACGGCAAGGGACGAAAGCUAGGGGCACGAAUCGGAUUAGAUACCCGGGUAGUCCUAGCCGUAAACGAUACUCGCUAGGUGUCGGCAACGGUGCGACCGUUGUCGGUGCCGUAGGGAAGCCGUGAAGCGAGCCACCUGGGAAGUACGGCCGCAAGGCUGAAACUUAAAGGAAUUGGCGGGGGAGCAC